This is a long non-coding RNA of Saccostrea cuccullata (small rock oyster), 1105 nucleotides long. RefSeq lists it as uncharacterized. The record is from RefSeq and is a predicted model, not a curated record. NCBI's taxonomy places the organism in Eukaryota, Metazoa, Mollusca, Bivalvia, Ostreida, Ostreidae. The transcript has 5 exons.
GCCGAUUCCGCAACCAGGAAGCCUAUUAGAGAAGUGCCAUUUAUGUCUCCCUUUCUUAUUUUUUGUCUGUUUCCUGUAUCCUCCCUACGCUAACAUAACUAAAACUUAUCUUCUCCUCCCCAUCCUCUUCCUCCAUUUUACUCUUUCCUGAUCUAAUUGCUUAAAUUGUCUUCAUUUUCUUAAUCGAUUUGUUCAUCUCAUCUUCGUUUAAUGUUUGUGUUUAUGUCAAUUUCUCGAAUUAUUUGUGUUUAUUGUGUUGAGUUUUUACUAAUUUUGUUCUAGCUGUAUAUUUUCAGGUUCCCGGACGGGGGACGACGCUGGAGGACGACGCUGGAGGACGACGUUGGAGGACCAAGGCCGGCCAACAGAAGAAGAGGAAUUUAUUGUCUAGUUAUGUACAGUGCAUCCUAUUAGUGAAAAGGCGGAAGACAGUUAACGCUGAUCCAGAUGCCUUAGUGAGACAGAGCUUGUCUCCCAUUCAACUGGAGCCCCCUACUGGAAGAUGCGGAUGCAGACCGAUGGGGCCCGUCAGAAGAUGAACGCAAGGAGCCGAUUCCGCAACCAGGAAGCCUAUUAGAGAAGUGCCAUUUAUGUCUCCCUUUCUUAUUUUUUGUCUGUUUCCUGUAUCCUCCCUACGCUAACAUAACUAAAACUUAUCUUCUCCUCCCCAUCCUCUUCCUCCAUUUUACUCUUUCCUGAUCUAAUUGCUUAAAUUGUCUUCAUUUUCUUAAUCGAUUUGUUCAUCUCAUCUUCGUUUAAUGUUUGUGUUUAUGUCAAUUUCUCGAAUUAUUUGUGUUUAUUGUGUUGAGUUUUUACUAAUUUUGUUCUAGCUGUAUAUUUUCAGGUUCCCGGACGGGGGACGACGCUGGAGGACGACGCUGGAGGACGACGUUGGAGGACCAAGGCCGGCCAACAGAAGAAGAGGAAUUUAUUGUCUAGUUAUGUACAGUGCAUCCUAUUAGUGAAAAGGCGGAAGACAGUUAACGCUGAUCCAGAUGCCUUAGUGAGACAGAGCUUGUCUCCCAUUCAACUGGAGCCCCCUACUGGAAGAUGCGGAUGCAGACCGAUGGGGCCCGUCAGAAGAUGAACGCAAGGAGCCGAUUCC